CCUCAGCUGAUACAACAGGAACAUUUAUAUACUCUCUCUCUCUCUCUCUCUCUGUGUGUGUGUGUGUGUGUGUGUGUGAGAGAGAGAGAGAGAGAGAGAGAGAGAGAGAGAGAGAGUCCUCUUAAUAGACUCCA
This is a non-coding RNA of Podarcis lilfordi (Lilford's wall lizard), 134 nucleotides long. The record is from the annotation of a GenBank genome assembly. NCBI's taxonomy places the organism in Eukaryota, Metazoa, Chordata, Lepidosauria, Squamata, Lacertidae.